CUAAGCGGAGGAGAAGAAACUAACCAGGAUUUCCCUAGUAACGGCGAGCGAACCGGAAAGAGCCCAGCUUGAAAAUCGUGGUGCCUCGCACCUCGAGUUGUAGUCUGGAGAAGGUCCCUCUGCGACGCGCCGGACCCAAGUUCCCUGGAAAGGGACGUCAUCGAGGGUGACAACCCCGUCCGCGCCCGGAACGCGUCGCUCCACGAGGACCUGUCUGCGAGUCGGGCUGUUUGGGAAUGCAGCCCUAAGUGGGAGGUAAAUUCCUUCCAAGGCUAAAUAUGGGCAAGAGACCGAUAGCGAACAAGUACCGCGAGGGAAAGAUGAAAAGGACUUUGAAAAGAGAGUUAAAAAGUGCUUGAAAUUGCUGGGAGGGAAGCGAAUGGAAGCUGCGGGUGCGCCCCGGUUGGAUGUGGAACGGCUUCGGCUGGUCCGCCGCUCAACGCGGGGCGCUGGUCAGCGUGGGCCACGGCGCCGGGACAAGAGCGGGGAUUCGCUUCCCGCCUAUGCCGGUGCGGUGGCCGAGGAACGAAGCGCGCGCCGCAAGGCGUGGGUUCGCCCAACUGCGCGCUCGGGACGCUGGCGUAUUGAGCUCUUCAUCCGACCCGUCUUGAAACACGGACCAAGGAGUCUAACAUGUAUGCGAGCCGGUGGGCGGCAAACCCAUUGAGGCGCAAGUAAACUGACAGGUGGGACCCCGACCGUGAGGGAGGGAGCACCAUCGACCGACCGUGAUCUUCUGUGAAAGGUUUGAGUGUGAGCAUACCUGUUGGGACCCGAAAGAUGGUGAACUAUGCCUGAGCAGGGCGAAGCCAGAGGAAACUCUGGUGGAGGCUCGUAGCGAUACUGACGUGCAAAUCGUUCGUCAGACUUGGGUAUAGGGGCGAAAGACUAAUCGAACCAUCUAGUAGCUGGUUCCCUCCGAAGUUUCCCUCAGGAUAGCUGGAGCUCGUGUACAAGUUUUAUCAGGUAAAGCGAAUGAUUAGAGGCAUCGGGGGUGUAACACCCUCGACCUAUUCUCAAACUUUAAAUAGGUAAGCCGCCGGGGUUGCUUGGUUGAACCCCGGCACAGAAUGAGAGCUCCAAGUGGGCCAU
This 1092-nucleotide ribosomal RNA is filed under the name Homomallium adnatum. RNAcentral describes it as "eukaryotic LSU rRNA". It matches the Rfam family "Eukaryotic large subunit ribosomal RNA", at positions 46 to 1134 of the family's 3401-position model. Lineage: Eukaryota; Viridiplantae; Streptophyta; Bryopsida; Hypnales; Pylaisiaceae. The record is from RNAcentral.